This 375-nucleotide ribosomal RNA is filed under the name uncultured organism. RNAcentral's name for it is "bacterial SSU rRNA". It matches the Rfam family "Bacterial small subunit ribosomal RNA", at positions 526 to 896 of the family's 1533-position model. The record is from RNAcentral.
CGAGGGGUCCUAGCGUUGUUCGGAAUCAUUGGGCGUAAAGAGCUCGUAGGUGGCUUAGUAAGUCAGGUGUGAAAGCCCAGGGCUCAACCCUGGAAGUGCACUUGAAACUGCAUAGCUUGAGUACGGUAGAGGUAAGGUGGAAUUCCUGGUGUAGUGGUGAAAUACGUAGAUAUCAGGAGGAACAUCGGUGGCGAAGGCGGCUUACUGGACCCAGUACUGACACUGAGGAGCGAAAGCAUGGGGAUCAAACAGGAUUAGAUACCCUGGUAGUCCAUGCUGUAAACGAUGGAUACUUGUUGUUGGAGGUAUUGACCCCUUCAGUGACGAAGCUAACGCGUUAAGUAUCCCGCCUGGGAAGUACGGUCGCAAAGAUUA